This 493-nucleotide ribosomal RNA is filed under the name uncultured bacterium. RNAcentral's name for it is "SSU rRNA". It matches the Rfam family "Bacterial small subunit ribosomal RNA", at positions 26 to 517 of the family's 1533-position model. The record is from RNAcentral.
AGGACGAACGCUGGCGGCGUGCUUAACACAUGCAAGUCGAGCGGAAAGGCCCUUCGGGGUACUCGAGCGGCGAACGGGUGAGUAACACGUGAGCAAUCUGCCCUUAGCUUCGGGAUAGCUCCGGGAAACCGGAAUUAAUACCGAAUAUGACUACGGUUGACAUCAGCCAUGGUGGAAAGUUUUUCGGCUAGGGAUGAGCUCGCGGCCUAUCAGCUAGUUGGUGGGGUAACGGCCUACCAAGGCGACGACGGGUAGCCGGCCUGAGAGGGCGACCGGCCACGACUGGGACUGAGACACGGCCCAGACACCUACGGGUGGCAGCAGUCGAGAAUUUUUCUCAAUGGGGGAAACCCUGAAGGAGCGACGCCGCGUGGAGGAUGAAGGUCUUCGGGUUGUAAACUCCUGUCAUUUGGGAACAAUGCGCAAAUAUUAACUGUAUUUGCGUUGAUAGUACCAGAAGAGGAAGAGGCGGCUAACUCUGUGCCAGCAGCCG